This 468-nucleotide ribosomal RNA is filed under the name uncultured bacterium. RNAcentral describes it as "partial 16S ribosomal RNA". It matches the Rfam family "Bacterial small subunit ribosomal RNA", at positions 28 to 507 of the family's 1533-position model. The record is from RNAcentral.
GACGAACGCUGGCGGCGUGCUUAACACAUGCAAGUCGAACGGAAAGGCCCUGCUUUUGUGGGGUGCUCGAGUGGCGAACGGGUGAGUAACACGUGAGUAACCUGCCCUUGACUUUGGGAUAACUUCAGGAAACUGGGGCUAAUACCGGAUAGGAGCUCCUGCUGCAUGGUGGGGGUUGGAAAGUUUCGGCGGUUGGGAAUGGACUCGCGGCUUAUCAGCUUGUUGGUGUGGUAGUGGCUUACCAAGGCUUUGACGGGUAGCCGGGCUGAGAGGGUGACCGGCCACAUUGGGACUGAGAUACGGCCCAGACUCCUACGGGAGGCAGAAGUGGGGAAUAUUGCGCAAUGGGCGGAAGACUGAUGCAGAAACGCCGCGUGCGGGAUGACGGCCUUCGGGUUUUAAACCGCUUUCGCCUGUGACGAAGCGUGAGUGACGGUAAUGGGUAAAGAAGCACCGGCUAACUACGUG